RNAcentral lists this ribosomal RNA (253 nucleotides) under uncultured bacterium. RNAcentral's name for it is "partial 16S ribosomal RNA". It matches the Rfam family "Bacterial small subunit ribosomal RNA", at positions 524 to 776 of the family's 1533-position model. The record is from RNAcentral.
UACAGAGGGUGCAAGCGUUAAUCGGAAUGACUGGGCGUAAAGGGCAUGUAGGUGGAUGAUUAAGUUUGAUGUGAAAUCCCUGGGCUUAACCUGGGAAUGGCGUUGAAGACUGAUGAUCUAGAGUUUAACAGAGGGCUGCGGAAUUUCCGGUGUAGCAGUGAAAUGCGUAGAGAUCGGAAAGAACACCAGUGGCGAAGGCGGUGGCCUGGGUUGAAACUGACACUGAGGUGCGAAAGCGUGGGGAGCAAACAGG